This 472-nucleotide ribosomal RNA is filed under the name uncultured bacterium. Its description in RNAcentral is "partial 16S ribosomal RNA". It matches the Rfam family "Bacterial small subunit ribosomal RNA", at positions 28 to 507 of the family's 1533-position model. The record is from RNAcentral.
GACGAACGCUGGCGGCGUGCUUAACACAUGCAAGUCGAACGCUGAAGCUUGGUGCUUGCACUGGGUGGAUGAGUGGCGAACGGGUGAGUAAUACGUGAGUAACCUGCCCUUGACUCUGGGAUAAGCCUGGGAAACUGGGUCUAAUACUGGAUACGACAUGCCACUGCAUGGUGGUGUGUGGAAAGGGUUUUACUGGUUUUGGAUGGGCUCACGGCCUAUCAGCUUGUUGGUGGGGUAAUGGCCUACCAAGGCGACGACGGGUAGCCGGCCUGAGAGGGUGACCAGCCACACUGGGACUGAGACACGGCCCAGACUCCUACGGGAGGCAGCAGUGGGGAAUAUUGCACAAUGGGCGGAAGCCUGAUGCAGCGACGCCGCGUGAGGGAUGACGGCCUUCGGGUUGUAAACCUCUUUCAGCACGGAAGAAGCGAGAGUGACGGUACGUGCAGAAGAAGCGCCGGCUAACUACGUG